AUCUGCUGCUUCUGUUGGCCCCUAUUCUAGGACCUAUUAUACCUGGCUUGUACAUACCCACAAGAUUCUUCCGCAUGUUGCUAAACAAGUUGGCUCGAGACUUCCAUAACUACCCUGCAGUCGGAGGGCUGGUUCAAACUCUAAUGAGUUAUGUUGUCGGUGGAGACAGCUCAAAUUGGGUAGGAGUAUUAGGAUUACCACACUACAACAUGAAUGACAUGCCGGGACUUUCAUUCUAUGUAGCUCACCAUCUUGCACAAAUGAAACAUGCAAAAAAAUUUAUAAUGUAUGAUUAUGGACGUGCAUCCGCCAACAUGAAAGCAUAUGGAUCUCCAGAGCCUCUGGACUUGGGUGAAUAUUAUGG
RNAcentral lists this unclassified non-coding RNA (364 nucleotides) under Hevea brasiliensis (rubber tree). Lineage: Eukaryota; Viridiplantae; Streptophyta; Magnoliopsida; Malpighiales; Euphorbiaceae. The record is from RNAcentral.